CACCUCCAAGGCACCAUAGAGUUCAGCGCGCAGAGUCGGGGGGGGGGGGAGCAAGGCGCAGGAUGGGGAAGGAAGCGGAAAGGCUCCAGGAGAAGGACGGAGAAAGCAAGUAAGAGCAAGCGCAGGCCAGGAGCGCCGGAAACCGACCGCCGGACGGAAACAAGCCGACCUCCCUUCCCGGAAGAACCCUGGUACUGGCAGGAAGACCUGUCCCCGGUGAUCAAAGACAUCCUUCUACAACUACGGGAGCAGAAUGAGGAAACAGGAUGCUGGAUAAGGGAUCAGAAAACCUGCUGGCUACAUCUCUGCAAUUAAGUAUGUCUCGGAGCAAGACUCAAGGAAAUACACAGCUAUGCUCGCUGCCUCAGUUUCCCUGGUUGUUAGCAUGGGGGGCCAUCAAGGGAGUUUGUUCAAGCUGAUUUUGGAGCAACAGAUAGUUUUGACUUGACAACCCCUUCCUCUGCAGACCUCAGCCAUGGCCUUAGAUCCAGGGUGGAUCGCCCCUUCAGACCCUCUCAAAGCGGAUGGGUGUGGAUGAGCCACCCUUGGCAUCGUGCCUUGUGCGUGUGACUCAGACGGUUUCUGCUUGUCUGAAGGAUUCCUGCAAGUCCUCAGAGUUGUCCAACCCGCCCGGGCUCAGCGCUGGAGCCCGUGAGAAACACGCUCAAAGUGAGUCACGCAGUGCCAGCAGCCUUGUUCUCCCUGUGCGGGAUGGACUGCUGCGCGCGGGGACUCGACAGUCACUCUCGCUGCGUGCCCUUGCUGUCCUGUGGGGUUGAAUCCGGGAUGGCUGCUCGGAGCUCAAUGGAGGGAGGUCCCCACGGACCUUUUGUGUAUGGUGCAACGCUGCGUUUCUUUUUUGCUUAUUCGAGUUCCAGCCAGCUGGCCUCACACUGUCUUUGUUGUGGGAAAUGGUCCCCUUGAAGUCAGGGGAGUUGGGCUUGGGGCAUCUCGGAAGUCCCCUGGCUUCCACUGUUGGAAGGCAUCCGUUCAUUUUGAAUGCCUCUGGUUUUUGGACUUAAUCGGACCCACCCAAGGGCUAAUUUUUUUCAGAGGCACCGUAUGCCUCAGCACCUCCUACUGAUAGUAGCUGGUGUGGUGAGAGAUCAGCAUCUCUGAUACUCGAGCUGCAUUAGCCAAGGGAGCCCAGAUUCUUUUUAGCUUCUCGGACAGGUUUGCAAAGCUGGAUUUUUUUUAAUUUUUUUUUUUUUUUUUUAAAUCUGUCGAUGGGAGCUUUAAGAUGAGACUCUAAAUAAGAAGAGGUUUUUUUGGAUGUGAACUUGGGUAUCUGUGACUCAAUUUCCUCAUGUGCAAGAUGAGGGGGUGGCCAUCUUCCUUACUUAAUGGUAAGAUAAAGGUGUUGGAGAUCUUACUGUUUUGGUGCAAGAUGCAAGUGGAGCGUAAGACCUCAGGAAGCUGAUCCUUUGUGGAGAGCUCUUUGGAAGAUCCUUUUCCCAUUAAGCUAAUAAUAUCUCAUCUGGCAAGCUGGGUAAAGCUGGAAGAUCCCAGAAGUCCAGG
Molecule: RNA transcript, 1518 nt
Organism: Aquila chrysaetos chrysaetos
Lineage: Eukaryota; Metazoa; Chordata; Aves; Accipitriformes; Accipitridae
Exons: 4
Source: RefSeq, a predicted model, not a curated record